Molecule: ribosomal RNA, 1040 nt
Filed under: Jesogammarus hinumensis
Lineage: Eukaryota; Metazoa; Arthropoda; Malacostraca; Amphipoda; Anisogammaridae
Description: 16S ribosomal RNA
Rfam family: Archaeal large subunit ribosomal RNA (bases 817-975)
Source: RNAcentral
GAAAGUACUGAUGGAAAUUAAAAAUAUAUUUUAGUGUAGUUAUUUACCUUUUGUCUCAGGGUGGUUUUAUUUAAAAAGUAUUAAUAUCUUGAUUGGUUUAGGGCUAAAACACGUAAUUUAUUAUAAAAAAUAGUUUAAGUUGGUUAGAGGUAAAAUUUUAUCGGUAAAUUUGGUAUCUAGUUAAGUAUAAUAGACUUUAGGUCUUUUACUAGUAAGUAAUUAAAACAAAAAGGUAAUCUUUUUGUUUGAUUAAACUAAAUUGAAUUUUAUUAAAACUAAGCUUUGGAUUUGCUAUGUUAAGUAAUUUGUUAAAAAUAAUAUUGUAAUAUGGUUUUUUGUUUAAUAUUAUAUUAUUUUUAUGUAGUUUAUAAUUAUUUUUAUAAUGGAUUAAUUAGUAUUUUUGAAAGUUGUGAGUAAGUAACUCGGUGUAUUUUUGAUAGUUUAACAAAAACAUUUUCUUAUUGAACUGUAAGGUAAGGCCUGCCCAGUGAAGAUUUUAAACGGCUGCGGUACCUUAACCGUGCUAAGGUAGCAUAUAUCACUUGGUUUUUAAUAGAGAUCUGGAAUGAAGGGUUUAACAAAUAUUAGUGUCUUACUCAUAAAGAGUGAAUUUAAGGUUCAAAGUAAAAACGCUUGAAUUAUUCGUGGGACGAUAAGACCCUAAAAGCUUUAUUUUUAAUAUUGAAAUAUUUUUAGUGUUUAAUAUAGUCAAUAAAUUUGGUUGGGGUAACAACUCUAAAUAUAUUAGGGUAAUUUUUUAUAGUAUAAUUAAAUAAUGGUCCUUAAUAUUAGGAUAUUAGUUGCAGUUACUUUAGGGGUAACAGGGUAAUUAUUUUAUAGAGCUCUUAUCUAUAAAGUAGGUUGCUACCUCGAUGUUGAAUUAAAAUUUCGGCGGAAUGAAAAAGGUUCGUUUGAGGGUUUGUUCAACCUUUAAUUUUUUACAUGAUUUGAGUUCAAAUCGGUUUAAGCCAGAUUGGUUUCUAUCUACUUAGUAAUAUAAGUUAUCUUAGUACGAGAGGAUCAGAUAGUUUUUAUGUUUA